Molecule: long non-coding RNA, 436 nt
Organism: Coregonus clupeaformis (lake whitefish)
Lineage: Eukaryota; Metazoa; Chordata; Actinopteri; Salmoniformes; Salmonidae
Exons: 3
Source: RefSeq, a predicted model, not a curated record
AAUGACUAUUGUAACACUACAGAGAGUAGCCUACGUUGGACCGGGGGUCUGGGCCCUCACCAAUGGCUGUAUGAAUGGGAAAAGUCAUCGAUCACGUGACACCAUUCAUUCCUAUGUGAAGAAUCAAUGGGAGUGUUAGAGCGGUAAGCCCAACUAAACCGACUAGACGAAAGUCAGCAAGUGAAAUCGGGGGAGGUGCAUCUGCAAUAGCCAAAAGUCGGACACCAUAGUGCCUUCAAACUCAACUCUGAUUUAGACCUGGAACACCAGGUUGGAACCAACAUGCAGUACCUCCAGCUGGAAUAGAGGCAAGAACCAUUUGUCCGCUAGCUCAGGGACAAGCUACACUAUUCACAGCCCUGUGUAAUGUUCGAUGUAAUUGCAUUGGUUGACUUUUUGAAACUUCUUGUAUUUGUAUUUAUUUUUUUAAUGUAAA